RNAcentral lists this ribosomal RNA (492 nucleotides) under uncultured bacterium. RNAcentral's name for it is "partial 16S ribosomal RNA". It matches the Rfam family "Bacterial small subunit ribosomal RNA", at positions 29 to 507 of the family's 1533-position model. The record is from RNAcentral.
AGUGAACGCUGGCGGUAGGCCUAACACAUGCAAGUCGAACGGCAGCACAGUAAGAGCUUGCUCUUACGGGUGGCGAGUGGCGGACGGGUGAGGAAUACAUCGGAAUCUACUUUUUCGUGGGGGAUAACGUAGGGAAACUUACGCUAAUACCGCAUACGACCUACGGGUGAAAGCAGGGGAUCUUCGGACCUUGCGCGAUUGAAUGAGCCGAUGUCGGAUUAGCUAGUUGGCGGGGUAAAGGCCCACCAAGGCGACGAUCCGUAGCUGGUCUGAGAGGAUGAUCAGCCACACUGGAACUGAGACACGGUCCAGACUCCUACGGGAGGCAGCAGUGGGGAAUAUUGGACAAUGGGCGCAAGCCUGAUCCAGCCAUACGGCGUGGGUGAAGAAGGCCUUCGGGUUGUAAAGCCCUUUUGUUGGGAAAGAAAAGCAGCAGGUUAAUACCCCGCUGUUCUGACGGUACCCAAAGAAUAAGCACCGGCUAACUUCGUG